Molecule: transfer RNA, 71 nt
Filed under: Camelus bactrianus (Bactrian camel)
Lineage: Eukaryota; Metazoa; Chordata; Mammalia; Artiodactyla; Camelidae
Also listed under: 1 other name
Rfam family: tRNA
About the family: Transfer RNA (tRNA) molecules are approximately 80 nucleotides in length.
Source: Rfam by way of RNAcentral
GAGGGCGUGCUCAAUGGCAGAGCACAUGCCUAGCAUGCACAAAGUCCUGGGUUCCAUCCCCAGUACCUUCA